AACAUCGCGCACCUGCGGGAACCUGCGGAGGGAUCAUUAAAGAGUUGCAAAACUCCCAACCAUUGUGAACGAACCUUUAUGCUCAGGCGAGCGGCGCUCUGUCGCUGCAAGCCGACGGCAUUAAACUCUUAAUUCAGUGAAUAUCUGAGUAGCUUAUUUAAUAAGUCAAAACUUUCAACAACGGAUCU
This 188-nucleotide unclassified non-coding RNA is filed under the name soil metagenome. RNAcentral describes it as "partial contains 5.8S ribosomal RNA, internal transcribed spacer 2, and large subunit ribosomal RNA". The record is from RNAcentral.